Molecule: ribosomal RNA, 501 nt
Filed under: Trichoderma sp. AH-Group-10
Lineage: Eukaryota; Fungi; Ascomycota; Sordariomycetes; Hypocreales; Hypocreaceae
Description: eukaryotic LSU rRNA
Rfam family: 5.8S ribosomal RNA (bases 174-327)
Source: RNAcentral
CCCCAAACCCAAUGUGAACCAUACCAAACUGUUUGCCUCGGCGGGGUCACGCCCCGGGUNNNUCGCAGCCCCGGAACCAGGCGCCCGCCGGAGGGACCAACCAAACUCUUUUCUGUAGUCCCCUCGCGGACGUUAUUUCUUACAGCUCUGAGCAAAAAUUCAAAAUGAAUCAAAACUUUCAACAACGGAUCUCUUGGUUCUGGCAUCGAUGAAGAACGCAGCGAAAUGCGAUAAGUAAUGUGAAUUGCAGAAUUCAGUGAAUCAUCGAAUCUUUGAACGCACAUUGCGCCCGCCAGUAUUCUGGCGGGCAUGCCUGUCCGAGCGUCAUUUCAACCCUCGAACCCCUCCGGGGGGUCGGCGUUGGGGAUCGGGAACCCCUAAGACGGGAUCCCGGCCCCRAAAUACAGUGGCGGUCUCGCCGCAGCCUCUCCUGCGCANUANUUUGCACAACUCGCACCGGGAGCGCGGCGCGUCCACGUCCGUAAAACACCCCAACUUCUG